GGAGUCUACCCACGCGUCGGAGUAUUAUUUAGCCAUAAAAAGGAAGGGAAUUCUGGUAGUCGUGACAAUGGGGAUGGUCCUCCAAAAGGUUAUGCUAAGUGAUACAAAAGGCCAUCCAGUGUAUGAUUCCAUUCGUGUGAAAUGGCCGGGCGGUGGACUGGGAACGGUUGCUGGGGGUGUGGGGUCGCCACUAGGGGCGCUAAAAUCUCCUGGAAUUAGCGGCCGAGAACUUUGAGCAACACCACGGGCGGUACCGGAAAUUGCAGUUGUAUGACCUAUGCCUUGCAGCCCCGUCGGAAAACGCUGAUUGCCAUGAUGCUGUGCCCUUUGGUCGCCAGGCCCCAGAACCGGGGAGCUGUCACCAACAGAGCUGGCUUCCCGGGCCCAGCUCGCUGUUAGCCGGGAGAGCUCCUGAUCGCAGGCACACCCGGCUGGCCUGUGACCCUUUCUGCGCUGGCCUCCUGCCUCCUCCUGGCUGUGGGAACCCAGGCGACUUCUUACCUUCUCUGAGUGGCGGUUUCCUGCCCGUGGAAACACCUGAGCCAAGGAAGGAUAGCAUCCAGUUUGGACAGCGUAGGACCUGGCCAGCUUUGGACAGGGAAGAAGGCUUCCUUAGCGAAUUUCCAGGUAAGAGCACGCUAGAAAUAAAAGCUAUUAUGACGGAUGAAACGCUAAGCCUCAAAGAGAUUUCGCUGGACUGCGGUGAUGAGCGGAAGUCAAGGAAAUUAAAUUAUACCUGUCAGGGACCCAGCAGGAACCAUUCACACACUCGGGAAGUUUAAUUGAAGAGAGUGUAAUGAAGGAGCUCUUUACGGGGGCGGAGGCAGUGUUGAGCAAACUAACAAGGAAUGGUGAAGCGUCCAGGGACCAGCGACUGCGGGAAGCUGCUCCCACUCGUAGGCCUGAAAAGGGCAAGGCGAACAAAUGGUUUUGUCACAGUUCAGUGUGACAACCACGGCAGAGGGGCCACCAGACAGCAGCUGUGGGUGUAAGUAAGGAUACGCACCCUACAGGCAUCCUGUGACUUGGGAAAGAGAGAUUUAGAGGCGGGUUACAUACCCAACCUCAGGACAGGUGUUUGUUUGGCAGAGAGCUUAAGAGACCCACAUUCCAUUUCAGAGUCCUGGGUUCGAGUCCUGACUUGACUUGCCAUCCAGUUGCUGGCUAAUGUGCACCCUGGGAGGCAGCAGGCAGUGACACAAGAACUUGGACUCCUGCCACCCACGUGGGAGAUCUAGAUUGAAUUCUCAGCUAUGGCAGGCAUUUCAUUUCCAAGAAAAUAAAUGAAUAAAUGAACAUUAGAAAUACA
RNAcentral lists this long non-coding RNA (1309 nucleotides) under Oryctolagus cuniculus (rabbit). RNAcentral's name for it is "lncRNA (ENSOCUG00000036727.1)". The record is from RNAcentral. Lineage: Eukaryota; Metazoa; Chordata; Mammalia; Lagomorpha; Leporidae.